Molecule: ribosomal RNA, 253 nt
Filed under: uncultured bacterium
Lineage: Bacteria
Description: partial 16S ribosomal RNA
Rfam family: Bacterial small subunit ribosomal RNA
Source: RNAcentral
UACGUAGGGUGCGAGCGUUGUCCGGAAUUAUUGGGCGUAAAGAGCUUGUAGGCGGUCUGUCGCGUCUGCUGUGAAAAUCCGGGGCUCAACCCCGGACUUGCAGUGGGUACGGGCAGACUAGAGUGUGGUAGGGGAGACUGGAAUUCCUGGUGUAGCGGUGGAAUGCGCAGAUAUCAGGAGGAACACCGAUGGCGAAGGCAGGUCUCUGGGCCACUACUGACGCUGAGACGCGAAAGCGUGGGGAGCGAACGGG